RNAcentral lists this ribosomal RNA (429 nucleotides) under Actinomycetes bacterium. Its description in RNAcentral is "Actinobacteria bacterium partial 16S ribosomal RNA". It matches the Rfam family "Bacterial small subunit ribosomal RNA", at positions 355 to 776 of the family's 1533-position model. Lineage: Bacteria; Bacillati; Actinomycetota; Actinomycetes. The record is from RNAcentral.
UAGGGAAUCUUCCGCAAUGGGCGAAAGCCUGACGGAGCAACGCCGCGUGCGUGAUGAAGGUCUUCGGAUCGUAAAACUCUGUUAUCAGGGAAGAACUAAUGUGUAAGUAACUAUGCACGUCUUGACGGUACCUAAUCAGAAAGCCCCGGCUAACUACGUGCCAGCAGCCGCGGUAAUACGUAGGUGGCAAGCGUUAUCCGGAAUUAUUGGGCGUAAAGCGCGCGUAGGCGGUUUUUUAAGUCUGAUGUGAAAGCCCACGGCUCAACCGUGGAGGGUCAUUGGAGACUGGAAAACUUGAGUGCAGAAGAGGAAAGUGGAAUUCCGUGUGUAGCGGUGAAAUGCGCAGAGAUAUGGAGGAACACCAGUGGCGAAGGCAACUUUCUGGUCUGUAACUGACGCUGAUGUGCGAAAGCGUGGGGAUCAAACAGG